CCGCAUACGCUCGAGGAGAGGCAUUUCAUCUCGAGGAAACCUCCGGGGCAUUUCGAGGGGCUCGCGGCCUAUCAGCUAGUUGGUGAGGUAACGGCUCACCAAGGCGACGACGGGUAGCUGGUCUGAGAGGAUGGCCAGCCACAUUGGGACUGAGAUACGGCCCAGACUCCUACGGGAGGCAGCAGUGGGGAAUCUUGCGCAAUGGCCUAACGGCUGACGCAGCGACGCCGCGUGAGGGAUGACGCUCUUCGGAGUGUAAACCUCUUUUGCCUGAGACGAAUUGUCAGCUUUAGCUGAUUUGACUGUAUCGGGUGAAUAAGCACCGGCUAACUCCGUGCCAGCAGCCGCGGUAAUACGGGGGGUGCGAGCGUUGUCCGGAAUCACUGGGCGUAAAGGGCGCGUAGGUGGCCUGAUAAGGGUGUGGUGAAAGUCCGGGGCUCAACCCCGGAUCGGCCGUGCCGACUGUUAGGCUGGAGUACUGUAGGGGCAGGCGGAAUUCCGGGUGUAGCGGUGGAAUGCGUAGAGAUCCGGAGGAAGACCGGUGGCGAAGGCGGCCUGCUGGGCAGUUACUGACACUGAGGCGCGACAGCGUGGGGAGCAAACAGGAUUAGAUACCCUGGUAGUCCACGCCGUAAACGAUGGGUACUAGGUGCCUGGGGGAGCGACCCCUUGGGUGCCGGCGCUAACGCAGGAAGUACCCCGCCUGGG
Molecule: ribosomal RNA, 708 nt
Filed under: uncultured bacterium
Lineage: Bacteria
Description: bacterial SSU rRNA
Rfam family: Bacterial small subunit ribosomal RNA
Source: RNAcentral